This 494-nucleotide ribosomal RNA is filed under the name uncultured bacterium. RNAcentral's name for it is "partial 16S ribosomal RNA". It matches the Rfam family "Bacterial small subunit ribosomal RNA", at positions 28 to 507 of the family's 1533-position model. The record is from RNAcentral.
GACGAACGCUGGCGGCGUGCUUAACACAUGCAAGUCGAACGGAAAGGCCUGCUUUCCCUUGUGGAUUGCGGGUACUCGAGUGGCGAACGGGUGAGUAACACGUGAGUGAUCUGCCCCCAACUUGGGUAUAAGCCUGGGAAACUGGGUCUAAUUCCCGAUAGGACUGCAGGGUGGUGCCUGUGGUGGAAAACGAUUUUCUAGUGGUUGGGGAUGAGCUCGCGGCCUAUCAGCUUGUUGGUGGGGUAAUGGCCUACCGAGGCGGCGACGGGUAGCCGGCCUGGGAGGGUGGACGGCAACAGUGGGACUGAGAUACGGCCCAGACUCCUACGGGAGGCAGCAGUGGGGAAUAUUGCACAAUGGGCGGAAGCCUGAUGCAGCGACGCCGCGUGGGGGAUGACGGCCUUCGGGUUGUAAACUCCUUUCGACCGCGAGGAAGCCACCUGGUUGGAAGGGUGGUGACGGUAGUGGUAGAAGAAGCACCGGCUAACUACGUG